This 372-nucleotide ribosomal RNA is filed under the name uncultured bacterium. Its description in RNAcentral is "bacterial SSU rRNA". It matches the Rfam family "Bacterial small subunit ribosomal RNA", at positions 524 to 898 of the family's 1533-position model. The record is from RNAcentral.
UACGUAGGUGGCAAGCGUUAUCCGGAUUUAUUGGGUGUAAAGGGUGAGUAGGCGGGUCUGCAAGUCAGAUGUGAAAUACUGUGGCUCAACCACAGAAUUGCAUUUGAAACUAUGGAUCUUGAGAGUCGGAGAGGUAAUUGGAAUUCCCAGUGUAGCGGUGAAAUGCGUAGAGAUUGGGAGGAACACCAGUGGCGAAGGCGGAUUACUGGACGACAACUGACGCUGAUACACGAAAGCGUGGGGAGCAAACAGGAUUAGAUACCCUGGUAGUCCACGCUGUAAACGAUGAAUGCUAGGUGUGGGGCAGAAAUGUUCCGUGCCGGAGUUAACACAAUAAGCAUUCCACCUGGGGAGUACGGCCGCAAGGUUGAA